UCACUCCACGUACGGCGCCGGGGGGACCGGGUCCUUGCGCCGGUUUCCGCUUCUCGUGGGUCCUGCGGCGGCGGCGGCGGCCAAGCGGCGUUCACCAGGGAGUCGUUUCGGCCCAAUUGACCAGUAUUCCUUACUGAUAAGAGACACUGACCAUGGAGUGGUUCUGGUGAGAUGACAUGACCCUCGUGAAGGGGCCUGAAGCUUCAUUGUGUUUGUUCUCCCUCUGUUGCCGAGGCUGGACUGUACUGCCGUGAUCUCGGCUUGCUGCAACCUCCCUGCCUCGGGCUCCCAUGAUUCUCCUGCCUCAGCCUGCCGAGUGCCUGGGAUUGCAGGCAUGCGCCACCACGCCUGACUGGU
This 357-nucleotide long non-coding RNA is filed under the name Homo sapiens (human). RNAcentral describes it as "non-protein coding lnc-C17orf62-1:1". Lineage: Eukaryota; Metazoa; Chordata; Mammalia; Primates; Hominidae. The record is from RNAcentral.